Long non-coding RNA from Populus euphratica (Euphrates poplar), 1019 nucleotides. RefSeq lists it as uncharacterized. Lineage: Eukaryota; Viridiplantae; Streptophyta; Magnoliopsida; Malpighiales; Salicaceae. The transcript is spliced from 3 exons. The record is from RefSeq and is a predicted model, not a curated record.
CUCACUGUUGUAAUUUUGAAAGAAAGACUGCCCUUUUUAUUUACUUAAAGACACGACAUGCCACAUGUUAAUUGGCACGAUAAAAGACAUCCACUGUUCCCCUCAAAGACUACUUCUAAAACCAGCAAGACCUGCAUCAUAUAGAAAUUUAGCUAUUUUUCUCUGUUUAAUUCUUCAAGUAAUAUUGUGUUUUUGUGAUUAUGGCUAAUGGGCAAGCACCAACCAACCCCGUUCCUGCUAUGAGAACAUACCCGCCAGUGGAGCAUCCAGUGGUGGUAAUAGGGCCUAGGGCCACAGUACCUGGCACAGUACCCUGUUGAACUCGCCGUCUCCAGAAAGCUAUGGAGUCUUGGAGAAAAUUAUUUUAAGGUGUCUGACAUUAAUGGCACCCUCAUCUUCCAAGUCAAGAGUAAACUCUUAAGCUUGCAUGAUCGUCGUUUUCUGAAAGAUGCAGCUGGUAACAUCCUUGUCAAUCUCAGGCAGAAGAUAAUGAUCUGCAUCAAAGGUGGGAAGCUUUUAGAGGAGAAAGCAAGGAGGAGAAAGACUUGCUUUUCACAGCCAAGAAAUCAAAGCUGUUCCAAUUCAAGACUGAGUUAGACGUAUUCUUGGGUAAUAACAAAGGAGAGGUCCCUGAUUUCAAGGUGAAAGGAGGCUACAGCGAGAGUUCCUGCUCUAUACUUCUCGGAGAUUCCAAUACCAUGCUUGCACAAAUUCAUAGAAAACAUUCUCUCGCAAGUACUAUCUUGGAUACAGGCAGUUUUGGAGUGACUGUGUAUCCUAAUGUUGAUUAUGCCUUUAUAACUGCUCUUGUGGUGAUUCUUGAUGAGAUCAAUUAAUGCAGAUCGCAGUGGCGAAGAUUAAAUACAACUUUUAUUUUAUUACGAGAGAGAAAUGUCCAAGUUUAAUACCUCUUGUUUUGUUAAAAUAAAUACAAUGUAUGUCUUAUGGCUUUUUUCUAAUGUAAAAUGUAUGUUGUCUGUGAAAUAAAGUGUAAAAUAUAUUAUGUUUGUUAAGUUUUA